RNAcentral lists this long non-coding RNA (209 nucleotides) under Elaeis guineensis (African oil palm). Its description in RNAcentral is "long non-coding RNA (EGUI_LNC036435)". Lineage: Eukaryota; Viridiplantae; Streptophyta; Magnoliopsida; Arecales; Arecaceae. The record is from RNAcentral.
GCCGCCCCUCCUCCUCUCUUUCUAGAUAUAGGUAAGAUUUGAUUCUUAUCUCAUAUGGUAUGUAAGGAAACUUUAUUUUUGUGUGACAAAAAUCUAGAAAGAAAAAGGAGCACAUGCUAUUUUAUGGUGGGAUGUUUUUCUUGCUGCAUAACUUCAUCUCAAUGCCCACUCUUUCUUCUUCCUUCACCCCAACGCCCAAAUUCUGAUGU